CGGGCCGUAGCUUAGCUAGGUGGAGCGCCCGUGGAGAUCCGGCGAGGCUGAUAAAGGGCUCCCGGCCCGAGCAACCGGGAGGUCCCGGGUUCAAAUCCCGGCGGCCCCACCA
Molecule: transfer RNA, 112 nt
Filed under: Thermoproteus uzoniensis 768-20
Lineage: Archaea; Thermoproteati; Thermoproteota; Thermoprotei; Thermoproteales; Thermoproteaceae
Description: tRNA-Leu
Rfam family: tRNA
About the family: Transfer RNA (tRNA) molecules are approximately 80 nucleotides in length. Their secondary structure includes four short double-helical elements and three loops (D, anti-codon, and T loops).
Source: RNAcentral